Molecule: ribosomal RNA, 407 nt
Filed under: uncultured bacterium
Lineage: Bacteria
Description: partial 16S ribosomal RNA
Rfam family: Bacterial small subunit ribosomal RNA
Source: RNAcentral
GACGAACGCUGGCGGCGUGCCUAAUACAUGCAAGUAGAACGCAGUUGCGAACGGGUGAGUAACGCGUAGGUAACUGCCUCAUAGCGGGGGAUAACUAUUGGAAACGAUAGCUAAUACCGCAUACUUUGAGAUGGACCUGCGUUGUAUUGGCUAGUUGGUGAGGUAAAUGCUCACCAAUGGGCAGAUACCUAGCCGACCUGAGAGGGUGGUCGGGCAAACUGGGACUGGGGAACCGCCCAGACUUCUAAGGGAGGCAGCAGGAGGGAAACUUCGGCAAUGGGCGGCAGUCGUACUGAGCAAAGCCGGGGGAGUGAAGAAGGUCUUUGGAUCGUAAAGCUCUGUUGUUAGAGGAGCGGUAACUAAACAGAAAGUGCCGGCUAACUACGUGCCAGCAGCCGCGGUAAUAC